AAACUCUGGAGAAGCUCCGCCCGUGUCCCUUGGCGGAGUGCCGAAGGUGCAAGGCCGCAAGGCCGAAUCUCUCAGGCAAAAGGACAGAGUG
Molecule: non-coding RNA, 91 nt
Filed under: bovine gut metagenome
Description: Glycine riboswitch
Rfam family: Glycine riboswitch aptamer
About the family: This family represents the bacterial glycine riboswitch. Glycine riboswitches usually consist of two metabolite-binding aptamers domains with similar structures in tandem. The aptamers cooperatively bind glycine to regulate the expression of downstream genes.
Source: RNAcentral